Molecule: ribosomal RNA, 781 nt
Filed under: uncultured Neocallimastigales
Lineage: Eukaryota; Fungi; Neocallimastigomycota; Neocallimastigomycetes; Neocallimastigales
Description: partial large subunit ribosomal RNA
Rfam family: Eukaryotic large subunit ribosomal RNA
Source: RNAcentral
CUAUACAUGACUCUGCGCAUAUCAAUAAGCGGAGGAAAAGAAACUAACAAGGAUUCCCUUAGUAACGGCGAGUGAAGCGGGAAGAGCUCAAAUUUGAAAUCUUCAAGGUUUUACCUUGACGAAUUGUAGUUUAAAGAAGUGUUUUCUGUUGGAGUUUUGGUAAAAGUUCUUUGGAAUAGGACAUCAUAGAGGGUGAGAAUCCCGUAUUUGACCAUUAUUUCCAGCUGUGUGAUACACUUUCAAAGAGUCGGAUUGUUUGGGAAUGCAGUCCAAAAUGGGUGGUAAAUUUCAUCUAAAGCUAAAUAUUGGCGAGAGACCGAUAGCGAACAAGUACCGUGAGGGAAAGAUGAAAAGAACUUUGAAAAGAGAGUUAAACAGUACGUGAAAUUGUCAAAAGGGAAGCGUUUGACACCAGUGUUGUUUAGUUGAAAAUCAAUUCAAUAGUUUUUGAUUCUAAGUAGUAUUGACUUCAUCAGCUUGCUGCUUUCUUCUCAGAAAUUAUUGAAUGCACUUUUCAGUUAACAAGUCAACAUCAAUUUCUUUUGUUGUAAAAGGGUAAGAGGAAGGUGGCUUGACGCUUCGGCGUAAGUGUUUAUAGCCUUUUAUCCUCUAGCAAUCGGAGAGAUUGAGGAUCAGCAGCGUAGACUCCUUCGGGGUUAGAUACACUUGGUGCUAAGCUAUAGCCUUGUAUAGACAACUUGUUGACUAUGCUCAGUCAUGUAGCUUACUCGCAUGAUGCUAUUUUACCUACGCUUAGGAUGUUGAUAGUCACAGCGUGUAC